This 328-nucleotide ribosomal RNA is filed under the name uncultured eukaryote. RNAcentral describes it as "partial 18S ribosomal RNA". It matches the Rfam family "Eukaryotic small subunit ribosomal RNA", at positions 1470 to 1796 of the family's 1831-position model. The record is from RNAcentral.
CCCUUAGAUGUUCUGGGCUGCACGCGCGCUACACUGAUGCACUCAACGAGUUUACGACCUUGUCCGAGAGGAUUGGGUAAUCUUUUUAAAAUGCAUCGUGAUGGGGAUAGAUUAUUGCAAUUAUUAAUCUUCAACGAGGAAUUCCUAGUAAGCGCGAGUCAUCAGCUCGUGCUGAUUACGUCCCUGCCCUUUGCACACACCGCCCGUCGCUCCUACCGAUUGGGUGUGCUGGUGAAAUGUUCGGAUCGGCCGUUUGUCGCGGUUUCCGCGGCUCGUGGCUGAGAAGUUCAUUAAACCCUCCCACCUAGAGGAAGGAGAAGUCGUAACA